GAUGAACGCUGGCGGCGUGCGUAAUACAUGCAAGUCGAGCGAACGGACGAGAAGCUUGCUUUUCUGAUGUUAGCGGCGGACGGGUGAGUAACACGUGGAUAACCUACCUAUAAGACUGGGAUAACUUCGGGAAACCGGAGCUAAUACCGGAUAAUAUUUUGAACCGCAUGGUUCAAAAGUGAAAGACGGUCUUGCUGUCACUUAUAGAUGGAUCCGCGCUGCAUUAGCUAGUUGGUAAGGUAACGGCUUACCAAGGCAACGAUGCAUAGCCGACCUGAGAGGGUGAUCGGCCACACUGGAACUGAGACACGGUCCAGACUCCUACGGGAGGCAGCAGUAGGGAAUCUUCCGCAAUGGGCGAAAGCCUGACGGAGCAACGCCGCGUGAGUGAUGAAGGUCUUCGGAUCGUAAAACUCUGUUAUUAGGGAAGAACAUAUGUGUAAGUAACUGUGCACAUCUUGACGGUACCUAAUCAGAAAGCCACGGCUAACUACGUG
This 497-nucleotide ribosomal RNA is filed under the name uncultured bacterium. RNAcentral describes it as "partial 16S ribosomal RNA". It matches the Rfam family "Bacterial small subunit ribosomal RNA", at positions 28 to 507 of the family's 1533-position model. The record is from RNAcentral.